UACUAUCAGACUGGACCAGCUAGAAGCCGGGUGAGCACAAACCACUCGUGCCCCUUCAGUGUCCGUUGGUACUAGGGCAUGACCGUCAUCAACGUAGCAAAACAUUUCAUUUCGACAAAGCAUUUGCCAUUGACAUGGGAUCCUCAGCAAUGGAGGAUAGAGAUGAGGCCUUCACAGAGCACCUAUACAGCUGUGGGGCUGUCACAGAGGUCCUCAAAUUCGUCACCUGUAACCUACACUCUGGUAAUCCCCCUAAAGUGCUUUUUCUCAUCAUUUCAGACUGAAUGGAAGGAUGAAGCACAAGCUGGUCUUCCUCAGUGAGCACAUUCCCAGGGACACUUGCCUGGUCCUAAUGGGCCACUCCGUCGGCUGCUACAUCAUCCUGGAGAUGUUGACGUUGGAUCCUGAGCUGCAGUUGAGACCCUACUUUGGAUUAAAUACUAUGGUAGAAGUGAAAUUGUAGUGUAACGUCUAUCAUAUCGAGAUUUGUCAGGCUUUAAAGCGGCAAUCAGCAGUUGAAACAACAACAAAUCGAACUACCCACCACCUUUUCCCUAAAACGACCCAGUCGGGGGAGAAGGGCCUUGGUGUAACGGCAGAUCUCUUCUUCGUCUGAAGAGGAGUAAGGAUCGGACCAAGAUGUAGCGUGUAGAAGAGUUCAGCUGUUCUCCAACACCAUCCAUCCAAGAUGAGCCUGUCCUGUGCUGAAGCAUAUGAACACCUCAACCCCUGUCCUACACUUAAGUCAAGCCUCUGAACACCUUAACUCAUGCCUCAUACCCUCAUUCAAUCACUGCUGUGAUCCUUUCCCAACACUUUGUGGUGAAAUCUGUGAUGCUGUUCCCCACUAUUGAGCGCAUGGCGGUGACCCCUCAGGGCAGGCUGUUGACCCCGGUGCUGUGCCACCUGCGCCUAUGUAGCUUACCUGCCCGUCUUCCUCCUCUCUCUGCUGCCUGAAGUAUUCUCUUCUAUCCAGUAAUCACUUCCCCAAUAAAACUGCAUCUGAAUCUCAUAUUGUGUUGCGGCACUGAAUCAGUUGAUACACGUCAUAAUUUAUCCAGUCUUUUGAAAGAAAUUAAAUAUCUCUGUUUUGGCAAAGGAAGCCCUACAUUACUGUAGCAUCAGGAAAUACAAUGUUUGAAAUUAGGUUUACAUAAAGCAAAGCUAGUCCCAGCCAGGUGUGGCUACCAAGAGGAGGAUGGCAUAUUUUACUGUCAGAGAUUAGAUAUUAUUUAUUACAACUUCUAGAAUAUAUCCCCUCUUAAUUUGCCAGAUGAUGGCUGGGGAUUUGGGUAUGAGUGGAAGGAAUUAAGACAGCUUCUAGGAGAAGGAGAAGAGCCGGCCAUCCCUCCUUCCUGCAUAGAGCGGAGGAAAGCAAAGCCUGGCUCACUCGCUCUUUCUGUCGGAUUUGAAGUGUGCUAUGUUUUCCUCCUCAGUCUGUCCUGGGAGGGGAGAGAUUGAUGUUGUGGCGGCCCGAGGGCCUGUGCCAAAAAAAGCUCUCUCUAGCCAAGUAGCCAUGCUGUGUCUCAGCCUCAGAAGCUUCUUCCUUCUUUCUCCCUCAGUCUCUUCUGUGAGGUCAGAAAGCAUCUUAUUUUUCUUGUCACUGCUGAGCAUGUUUUUAAUCAUUAGCACUUCCCUUUAAUUAGCUUUUGGAAUUUCUUUAUUCCCUCAUGGUCCUUUUUUUUGCGUUUUCCUGCUCAAUUAAUUAUAC
Oncorhynchus nerka (sockeye salmon) is the source of this 1711-nucleotide long non-coding RNA. RefSeq lists it as uncharacterized. Lineage: Eukaryota; Metazoa; Chordata; Actinopteri; Salmoniformes; Salmonidae. The transcript has 5 exons. The record is from RefSeq and is a predicted model, not a curated record.